UGGGCGCAGCCUGAUGCAGCGACGCCGCGUGAGGGAUGACGGCCUUCGGGUUGUAAACCUCUUUCAGCAGGGAAGAAGCGCAAGUGACGGUACCUGCAGAAGAAGCACCGGCUAACUACGUGCCAGCAGCCGCGGUAAUACGUAGGGUGCGAGCGUUGUCCGGAAUUAUUGGGCGUAAAGAGCUUGUAGGUGGUUUGUCGCGUCUGCUGUGAAAAUCCGAGGCUCAACCUCGGACUUGCAGUGGGUACGGGCAGACUAGAGUGUGGUAGGGGAGACUGGAAUUCCUGGUGUAGCGGUGGAAUGCGCAGAUAUCAGGAGGAACACCGAUGGCGAAGGCAGGUCUCUGGGCCAUUACUGACACUGAGAAGCGAAAGCAUGGGGAGCGAAA
Molecule: ribosomal RNA, 388 nt
Filed under: Terrabacter sp. 34AGV
Lineage: Bacteria; Bacillati; Actinomycetota; Actinomycetes; Micrococcales; Intrasporangiaceae
Description: bacterial SSU rRNA
Rfam family: Bacterial small subunit ribosomal RNA
Source: RNAcentral